Molecule: long non-coding RNA, 1918 nt
Organism: Sapajus apella (tufted capuchin)
Lineage: Eukaryota; Metazoa; Chordata; Mammalia; Primates; Cebidae
Exons: 3
Source: RefSeq, a predicted model, not a curated record
AAAAACAGUACAGUGAGUGGCUAAGUGUUCUAAAAAAAUAAAUAAAUAAAAGCAACAAUCCAUGGAAGAGGUAGACCUUAAAGAUGAGUGGGGUUUGAUGGGAAGACAGUAAAGGCAGAAAGCAGCAUUUCAUCACUGACAACUAUUUAUCAAGCACCUCCAUGUGUUUGGCCAUUACAUUAAAGUUUUGGGGAUAAAGAGAUGGAAAAGCUUCUUAUUGUCUUUCUCCUAAAUACUCUGUGUUUGGGAAAGGCUUAAACAGAUAGUAAAAGACACAGUGACACACAGAAGCAUGCAAUACAUGGAGCAAGAGUUUCAGGUAUUCUAAAAAUGCAGGGAACGUAUCCCUGGGACAGAGAGUGAGCAGUUUACGUGGAUCAAAGGGCUCACUUAUGAGAACGACGGCCUUCUCUAAGCCAGGCACUGAAUACUAUGGCUACAAAGAGCUCAGAGUCAACAAGAGGAACCAGGAACUGUAACACAAUGUGUGGAGCAGGUUAUGAAAAGAGGGGCACCUCUUCCAGUCAGAGGCGUCAGAGAAGGCUUCCUGGUGGCAUUCUUUUCAGAUUUGGUGUUCAUAAAAUAACUAGUAAGGAAGUGGUAGAAGAAAGUGAAAUUUUUCACAGCAGAUUAUGUGAAACACAACUAAUGAAACCAGCCAAAGUUUCUGAGUUCUUCUUUUCCCCAGCCUUCUCACCAGCCAAAACGUGUGUGAUGGACUCAUGGACUCAUUCACUGCAUCGAUCUUGGACACUGCCCAGCUUCCCCACUCUCCCAUUUAUCCCAAAUUGCUGAGGAUUUCCUGGCUAAGAACUAUCACUUUCCAGAGCUCUUUAUUUUCUGUUGUUUGGCUCAGCAGCACAAGCUGAUAUCCUUUUUAAAAUAUUGUUUUCACAAAGAAAUAAAGUAUCUUCUAUCCCAGAAGGGUUCUUGUAUGCAUGUAGGUGAGCACACAGCACAGAGCCGUGCUGCAGUGUGUGUACCUUGUUGUCACUGUCUCUCCUCCAGGAGGAACAUCAGACUCCUGUACACCAGGCUUCCCACAGCCCAGGAGGAACACAUCCAAGCCUUACCAGUCAUUUGCAUCUUAGUAAGACUAAAACUAACAAAACUAAUAAUGAAGCUUAAAAUAUAUUGAAGGGUUACAGCAUGCCAAGCAUAUAGGUAUUGUGUUAUUUAAUUCACAAUCACUUUUUGAGCUAGGCACCAGUACCAGCUUUAAGAACUCAGGAAGCUGAGGUGUCAAGAUUUUAAGUCAUUUGCUCAAGGUCACACAGCUAGUCAGUGUAGUGGGAGACUCAAUCCCCCAUGCGUCCUAUGCAGUGCUGUCGCCCAGGUGUGAAGAGGGAUGUGUGGGUCUGAGAACAAAGUUAGCCUGCUUAGUACUUUGUCCAAGAUCCACCCUGGCUCUGAGCCCAAGAAACAAGGCAGGAUCAGCAGCCACAAAGUCCAACAUUCAGCCAGGCUCCCAUACUGCAGGGGUCUCUAUCACAGCCUGGCUCUGGAUAUGGGCAAACGAAAGCUAGCAGCAGAGUACCCAGGCUGCCUCUGCGCAGGGAUGACUGGGGGGUAUUAACAACAAAAGAGAGGCAGAAGACGUGGGGUGGGCUGGCUGGAAGGGACUAGGAAACAGGGACACCUUGCAGAUAAUGCUCAGGAAUGAGGAGUAAGUAUCUUUUAUUGAACAAAGCUUGUAAUGGCAUUUCUAACAAUGGCAGGACUGACGGCUAUAAAAGGCACUCAUCAGACACAGUAGACUCGUGUUUACACUGGGAAGGGCUGCUGAUCCUUCAUAGGCCUUUGAAGCCACCCAUGCUCACACAGAUUGUAAUGCACUAACUAUGAAGUAAUGUCUUCAAAUAAAAGGGAGGAGUUGAAAUAGACCUGUCUAGCCAGUUAUUUCUCUAAGGCACUUCAA